CCCUUAGAUGUUCUGGGCUGCACGCGUGCUACAAUGGCGUUUCCAGCAAGUCUGCGAACCCGAGAGGGCCAGCGGAUCUUCGAAUUGGCGUCGUGAUCGGGACAGUCGAUUGCAAUUAUUUGACUCAAACGAGGAAUUCCUUGUAAUCGCGAUUCAUCAUAUCGCGCUGAAUACGUCCCUGUCCUUUGUACACACCGCCCGUCGCUCCUACCGAUUGAGCGAUCCGGUAAAUGUUUUGGAUUGGUGCCGGGGCGGCUAGCUGCCGGUCGCUACGAAAUUUUGUGAACCUUAUCGCUUAGAGGAAGGAAAAGUCGUAACA
RNAcentral lists this ribosomal RNA (319 nucleotides) under uncultured eukaryote. RNAcentral describes it as "partial 18S ribosomal RNA". It matches the Rfam family "Eukaryotic small subunit ribosomal RNA", at positions 1470 to 1796 of the family's 1831-position model. The record is from RNAcentral.